Molecule: ribosomal RNA, 714 nt
Filed under: Thalassiosira rotula
Lineage: Eukaryota; Bacillariophyta; Thalassiosirophyceae; Thalassiosirales; Thalassiosiraceae
Description: partial Bacterial small subunit ribosomal RNA
Rfam family: Bacterial small subunit ribosomal RNA
Source: RNAcentral
UACGGGAGGCAGCAGUGGGGAAUAUUGCACAAUGGGCGGAAGCCUGAUGCAGCAACGCCGCGUGCGGGAUGACGGCCUUCGGGUUGUAAACCGCUUUCGCCUGUGACGAAGCGUGAGUGACGGUAAUGGGUAAAGAAGCACCGGCUAACUACGUGCCAGCAGCCGCGGUGAUACGUAGGGUGCGAGCGUUGUCCGGAUUUAUUGGGCGUAAAGGGCUCGUAGGUGGUUGAUCGCGUCGGAAGUGUAAUCUUGGGUCUUAACCCUGAGCGUGCUUUCGAUACGGGUUGACUUGAGGAAGGUAGGGGAGAAUGGAAUUCCUGGUGGAGCGGUGGAAUGCGCAGAUAUCAGGAGGAACACCAGUGGCGAAGGCGGUUCUCUGGGCCUUUCCUGACGCUGAGGAGCGAAAGCGUGGGGAGCGAACAGGAUUAGAUACCCUGGUAGUCCACGCUGUAAACGAUGCAUACUAGGUGUUGGUCUUUCGGGGCCAGUGCUGCAGUUAACGCAUUAAGUAUGCCACCUGGGGAGUACGUCGGCAACGAUGAAACUCAAAGGAAUUGACGGGGGCCCGCACAAGCGGCGGAGCAUGCGGAUUAAUUCGAUGCAACGCGUAGAACCUUACCUGGGUUUGACAUGGAUCGGGAGUGCUCAGAGAUGGGUGUGCCUCUUUUGGGGUCGGUUCACAGGUGGUGCAUGGCUGUCGUCAGCUCGUGUCGU